Molecule: long non-coding RNA, 419 nt
Organism: Xyrauchen texanus (razorback sucker)
Lineage: Eukaryota; Metazoa; Chordata; Actinopteri; Cypriniformes; Catostomidae
Exons: 3
Source: RefSeq, a predicted model, not a curated record
UUUCUAAAAGGCGCUGUCCCGGGCAACUGUUGUUUCUGAGCCCAAUGACAUCAUCCGAUCUUUUGUAUACAGUUGUCAGGGGUUACUUGACGAUAUUUCAAGCGAUAAAACAGUCCUGCCCUAUGUAAGAUACGUGGUCCCAUUUCAGAAUUAACGUUAAAAAGGACUAAAUACACUUGAUCUUUACUUUGAACGAAGUCUCCUUUGUCCUCUUUUAGGACAUCACGGAGAAGCUGGUUUUUGAUAGGCCAGAUGAUCCACUUCAGUUCAUGUUAGAACAGUUUCAGGCAGUGGCAUAUGAAGUAUCCCAUGUCUUAUGGUUGGAGUUGGCAUCAGUUGAUCUCCUGAAGUCCAUCAUAAUAGACUGAAGUGAUGACUGGCUGGCACCGGCUGCAUUUAGUCAUCAUCACUCACAUCAC